GGGUUGUGAGGUUAAGCGACUAAGCGUACACGGUGGAUGCCCUGGCAGUCAGAGGCGAUGAAGGACGUGCUAAUCUGCGAUAAGCGUCGGUAAGGUGAUAUGAACCGUUAUAACCGGCGAUUUCCGAAUGGGGAAACCCAGUGUGAUUCGUCACACUAUCAUUAACUGAAUCCAUAGGUUAAUGAGGCGAACCGGGGGAACUGAAACAUCUAAGUACCCCGAGGAAAAGAAAUCAACCGAGAUUCCCCCAGUAGCGGCGAGCGAACGGGGAGCAGCCCAGAGCCUGAAUCAGUGUGUGUGUUAGUGGAAGCGUCUGGAAAGGCGCGCGAUACAGGGUGACAGCCCCGUACACAAAAAUGCACAUGCUGUGAGCUCGAUGAGUAGGGCGGGACACGUGGUAUCCUGUCUGAAUAUGGGGGGACCAUCCUCCAAGGCUAAAUACUCCUGACUGACCGAUAGUGAACCAGUACCGUGAGGGAAAGGCGAAAAGAACCCCGGCGAGGGGAGUGAAAAAGAACCUGAAACCGUGUACGUACAAGCAGUGGGAGCACGCUUAGGCGUGUGACUGCGUACCUUUUGUAUAAUGGGUCAGCGACUUAUAUUCUGUAGCAAGGUUAACCGAAUAGGGGAGCCGAAGGGAAACCGAGUCUUAACUGGGCGUUAAGUUGCAGGGUAUAGACCCGAAACCCGGUGAUCUAGCCAUGGGCAGGUUGAAGGUUGGGUAACACUAACUGGAGGACCGAACCGACUAAUGUUGAAAAAUUAGCGGAUGACUUGUGGCUGGGGGUGAAAGGCCAAUCAAACCGGGAGAUAGCUGGUUCUCCCCGAAAGCUAUUUAGGUAGCGCCUCGUGAACUCAUCUCCGGGGGUAGAGCACUGUUUCGGCAAGGGGGUCAUCCCGACUUACCAACCCGAUGCAAACUGCGAAUACCGGAGAAUGUUAUCACGGGAGACACACGGCGGGUGCUAACGUCCGUCGUGAAGAGGGAAACAACCCAGACCGCCAGCUAAGGUCCCAAAGUCAUGGUUAAGUGGGAAACGAUGUGGGAAGGCCCAGACAGCCAGGAUGUUGGCUUAGAAGCAGCCAUCAUUUAAAGAAAGCGUAAUAGCUCACUGGUCGAGUCGGCCUGCGCGGAAGAUGUAACGGGGCUAAACCAUGCACCGAAGCUGCGGCAGCGACGCUGAUGCGUUGUUGGGUAGGGGAGCGUUCUGUAAGCCUGUGAAGGUGUGCUGUGAGGCAUGCUGGAGGUAUCAGAAGUGCGAAUGCUGACAUAAGUAACGAUAAAGCGGGUGAAAAGCCCGCUCGCCGGAAGACCAAGGGUUCCUGUCCAACGUUAAUCGGGGCAGGGUGAGUCGACCCCUAAGGCGAGGCCGAAAGGCGUAGUCGAUGGGAAACAGGUUAAUAUUCCUGUACUUGGUGUUACUGCGAAGGGGGGACGGAGAAGGCUAUGUUGGCCGGGCGACGGUUGUCCCGGUUUAAGCGUGUAGGCUGGUUUUCCAGGCAAAUCCGGAAAAUCAAGGCUGAGGCGUGAUGACGAGGCACUACGGUGCUGAAGCAACAAAUGCCCUGCUUCCAGGAAAAGCCUCUAAGCAUCAGGUAACAUCAAAUCGUACCCCAAACCGACACAGGUGGUCAGGUAGAGAAUACCAAGGCGCUUGAGAGAACUCGGGUGAAGGAACUAGGCAAAAUGGUGCCGUAACUUCGGGAGAAGGCACGCUGAUAUGUAGGUGAAGUCCCUCGCGGAUGGAGCUGAAAUCAGUCGAAGAUACCAGCUGGCUGCAACUGUUUAUUAAAAACACAGCACUGUGCAAACACGAAAGUGGACGUAUACGGUGUGACGCCUGCCCGGUGCCGGAAGGUUAAUUGAUGGGGUCAGCGCAAGCGAAGCUCUUGAUCGAAGCCCCGGUAAACGGCGGCCGUAACUAUAACGGUCCUAAGGUAGCGAAAUUCCUUGUCGGGUAAGUUCCGACCUGCACGAAUGGCGUAAUGAUGGCCAGGCUGUCUCCACCCGAGACUCAGUGAAAUUGAACUCGCUGUGAAGAUGCAGUGUACCCGCGGCAAGACGGAAAGACCCCGUGAACCUUUACUAUAGCUUGACACUGAACAUUGAGCCUUGAUGUGUAGGAUAGGUGGGAGGCUUAGAAGUGUGGACGCCAGUCUGCAUGGAGCCGACCUUGAAAUACCACCCUUUAAUGUUUGAUGUUCUAACGUUGACCCGUAAUCCGGGUUGCGGACAGUGUCUGGUGGGUAGUUUGACUGGGGCGGUCUCCUCCUAAAGAGUAACGGAGGAGCACGAAGGUUGGCUAAUCCUGGUCGGACAUCAGGAGGUUAGUGCAAUGGCAUAAGCCAGCUUGACUGCGAGCGUGACGGCGCGAGCAGGUGCGAAAGCAGGUCAUAGUGAUCCGGUGGUUCUGAAUGGAAGGGCCAUCGCUCAACGGAUAAAAGGUACUCCGGGGAUAACAGGCUGAUACCGCCCAAGAGUUCAUAUCGACGGCGGUGUUUGGCACCUCGAUGUCGGCUCAUCACAUCCUGGGGCUGAAGUAGGUCCCAAGGGUAUGGCUGUUCGCCAUUUAAAGUGGUACGCGAGCUGGGUUUAGAACGUCGUGAGACAGUUCGGUCCCUAUCUGCCGUGGGCGCUGGAGAACUGAGGGGGGCUGCUCCUAGUACGAGAGGACCGGAGUGGACGCAUCACUGGUGUUCGGGUUGUCAUGCCAAUGGCACUGCCCGGUAGCUAAAUGCGGAAGAGAUAAGUGCUGAAAGCAUCUAAGCACGAAACUUGCCCCGAGAUGAGUUCUCCCUGACUCCUUGAGAGUCCUGAAGGAACGUUGAAGACGACGACGUUGAUAGGCCGGGUGUGUAAGCGCAGCGAUGCGUUGAGCUAACCGGUACUAAUGAACCGUGAGGCUUAACCUUACAACGCCGAAGCUGUU
Molecule: ribosomal RNA, 2930 nt
Filed under: Escherichia coli
Lineage: Bacteria; Pseudomonadati; Pseudomonadota; Gammaproteobacteria; Enterobacterales; Enterobacteriaceae
Description: 23S ribosomal RNA
Rfam family: Bacterial large subunit ribosomal RNA
Source: RNAcentral